ACCAAGGAAUCUGGAAGAGAACACUUCGGAGUCCGAGACUGAACGAUAGGGUGGAAUCUGGCCAAUUCUAUCCCAGACUCGCGAACGCCCACCGAUAUCCAAAACCCAGGGCGACCCCUCCGUAUCCCGAACGAGUGAUCUCUCCCAGGGGAGCGAAUAACUGCAGUAUCUGAAACAGCUUUAAGAAAACUGAGCCUCACUGUCAAUCCAUUGCCGGGCAUGCUUUUCUGACAUCAUUCAUUGAGCGCCCCGCCAACCAGAGCUGGCAGGAACUAAUCAAUCAUUUUUUCUGUGGUUCCAGCGAGUCCUGUGCUCUCACUUCUUGUUUCUGGCAAGUCAAGAGCUCCCCAUGUGUUCUCAUCUGUUACCCAGGCAUUGCCAUACCUGCCUGCCUGUGUGAAAGUGGCUCAGCUGCUGGCUCUGGAUGAGGCUAACAGAUCACAUCUAUCUCCCUGGCAUCUACUGAGUGUGCAGGGCUGCAAGGAUCAAGCCCCGGACAAGAACACAAAAGUAGGCAACUUAUAAGAACAAAGGAAAGUACCCACAAAAAGAAUGGAGGUUGACUGAUGACCCAGACACCAACCAAAGGCAACAUAGGCGAUUGGAGGAGCUGGAGCCUGGCAAUGGGGAGUACAAAACAGAAAAUAUGAUCCAUUUCUCACCCCCUUUUUUCCUCUUGUUGAGGCUUCCUUUCUUUGUUCCUUAAUUAAUAUUAAUGCUUUUCAGUCGGUGCAACUACACAUGAAAUCAGUGUACCUGAAUAAACUCCAGUGCAGUUCAUGCCACAGUUUAUUGCUUCUGGUUGCAGCAUUUACACAUGCACCCAUGACCACAGCACCUAGCUGGCAGACAGCCUCUAUACUGUAGCACCCU
Alligator sinensis (Chinese alligator) is the source of this 873-nucleotide long non-coding RNA. RefSeq lists it as uncharacterized. Lineage: Eukaryota; Metazoa; Chordata; Crocodylia; Alligatoridae. The record is from RefSeq and is a predicted model, not a curated record. The transcript is spliced from 4 exons.